GGAUGAGCCCGCGGCCUAUCAGCUAGUUGGUGAGGUAACGGCUCACCAAGGCAAUGACGGGUAGCUGGUCUGAGAGGACGACCAGCCACACUGGAACUGAGACACGGUCCAGACACCUACGGGUGGCAGCAGUCGAGAAUUUUUCUCAAUGGGGGAAACCCUGAAGGAGCGACGCCGCGUGGAGGAAGAAGGUCUUCGGAUUGUAAACUCCUGUCAUUGGGGAACAAUCCCUUGGGGAGUAACUGCCCUGAGGUUGAUAGUACCCGAAGAGGAAGGGACGGCUAACUCUGUGCCAGCAGCCGCGGUAAUACAGAGGUCCCGAGCGUUGUUCGGAUUCAUUGGGCGUAAAGGGUGCGUAGGCGGUAGGGUAAGUUGGAUGUGAAAUGCCGGAGCUCAACUCCGGAGCUGCAUUCAAUACUGCUCUGCUAGAGUACUGGAGGGGAGAUUGGAAUUCACGGUGUAGCAGUGAAAUGCGUAGAUAUCGUGAGGAAGACCAGUGGCGAAGGCGAAUCUCUGGACAGUAACUGACGCUGAGGCACGAAGGCUAGGGGAGCAAACGGGAUUAGAUACCCCGGUAGUCCUAGCAGUAAACGGUGCACGUUUAGUAUGGGAGGAAUCGACCCCUUCCGUGCUGGAGCUAACGCGUUAAACGUGCCGCCUGGGGAGUACGGUCGCAAGAUUAAAACUCAAAGAAAUUGACGGGGGC
Molecule: ribosomal RNA, 706 nt
Filed under: uncultured actinomycete
Lineage: Bacteria; Bacillati; Actinomycetota; Actinomycetes; Actinomycetales
Description: bacterial SSU rRNA
Rfam family: Bacterial small subunit ribosomal RNA
Source: RNAcentral